RNAcentral lists this small RNA (36 nucleotides) under Bombyx mori (domestic silkworm). Its description in RNAcentral is "ovarian small RNA-22034". The record is from RNAcentral. Lineage: Eukaryota; Metazoa; Arthropoda; Insecta; Lepidoptera; Bombycidae.
UAGAGUCGCCUUAUUACCCGAUAACAAGAUGGCUCG